ACGCUAGCUACAGGCUUAACACAUGCAAGUCGAGGGGCAGCGGGAUUGAAGCUUGCUUCAAUCGCCGGCGACCGGCGCACGGGUGAGUAACGCGUAUCCAACCUUCCGUACACUCAGGGAUAGCCUUUCGAAAGAAAGAUUAAUACCUGAUGGUAUGAUGAGAUUGCAUGAUAUCAUCAUUAAAGAUUUAUCGGUGUACGAUGGGGAUGCGUUCCAUUAGGUAGUAGGCGGGGUAACGGCCCACCUAGCCGACGAUGGAUAGGGGUUCUGAGAGGAAGGUCCCCCACAUUGGAACUGAGGCACGGUCCAAACUCCUACGGGAGGCAGCAGUGAGGAAUAUUGGUCAAUGGACGAGAGUCUGAACCAGCCAAGUAGCGUGAAGGAUGACUGCCCUAUGGGAUGUAAACUUCUUUUAUACGGGAAUAAAGUGAGGCACGUGUGCCUUUUUGUAUGUACCGUAUGAAUAAGGAUCGGCUAACUCCGUGCCAGCAGCCGCGGUAAUACGGAGGAUCCGAGCGUUAUCCGGAUUUAUUGGGUUUAAAGGGAGCGUAGGCGGACGCUUAAGUCAGUUGUGAAAGUUUGCGGCUCAACCGUAAAAUUGCAGUUGAUACUGGGUGUCUUGAGUACAGUAGAGGCAGGCGGAAUUCGUGGUGUAGCGGUGAAAUGCUUAGAUAUCACGAAGAACUCCGAUUG
RNAcentral lists this ribosomal RNA (693 nucleotides) under uncultured bacterium. Its description in RNAcentral is "bacterial SSU rRNA". It matches the Rfam family "Bacterial small subunit ribosomal RNA", at positions 33 to 715 of the family's 1533-position model. The record is from RNAcentral.